Populus euphratica (Euphrates poplar) is the source of this 774-nucleotide long non-coding RNA. RefSeq lists it as uncharacterized. The record is from RefSeq and is a predicted model, not a curated record. NCBI's taxonomy places the organism in Eukaryota, Viridiplantae, Streptophyta, Magnoliopsida, Malpighiales, Salicaceae. The transcript is spliced from 2 exons.
CAACUUAACUCCCACCUCAAUCUUAACUUAACUCAUGACCUGAAUUUAAUCCCAAAAUGGGCUUUACAACCAUGAUAGACAGUUCAACUGCUAAGUGAGGCAACUAUUACGAAGACAUGUAAUUUGAUAUGCAAACGAGAUUGCCAUCAACAGCUUGUAAAAUCUAAUAGCUACCACUGUUAUUAUGAAGUGCCUGGUGCUUGAGGCAGCACUCUUGCCCUGCCCGUAAACGCCAUGUCCAGCGGAUUUACUGUCGCCCCACACCAACAGAACCCGUCUACACCUGUAGACAAUGGUCAUCUGCCUCUAGCAGUCCCUUCCUUGCCAAGUUCCUCCAAAACAGCAAUAAAUACUUUACUAAUUGUGUUAGUUUUGCACUAGGACAUAAAAAUCGAUCUCAAACUAUUUCAUCCGAUAUUCAUAAAAUCACGUUCUAAAGUAGUUCCUUCUUAUAGCUUUCCAGACACAGAGUUGAGACACAUAAUAUUACAUUUGCUACUUGUCCAAGCGCUGAUAUAUAUAUAUAUAUAUUAUGACAUUCCACAGCUUACUGAUGUUCAUAAAGCUCAAUGAGAGGAGGUAUACUCCACAACUAGUUUACAUAAUACUCUGCCAGACUCUUACGUUGUGAGUCUUGAGGCAAGACACUAAAACUGGAAUGCCAAUUACUUGGAUAUCAAGCUCCCUCAGCUACAUUCCCAUACAGCAAAAGCACUUGGUUGUAUAUCUAUUCGGUGAGUAGCAUUUGAACAUCAUUGUUCGGAGCUGGGAGCU